This 763-nucleotide ribosomal RNA is filed under the name uncultured archaeon. Its description in RNAcentral is "bacterial SSU rRNA". It matches the Rfam family "Archaeal small subunit ribosomal RNA", at positions 565 to 1324 of the family's 1478-position model. The record is from RNAcentral.
AAUGGGCUGCCGAAAAUACUGCUAGAAUUAGGGCAGUGGGAGAGGUAGACGGUACUCGGGAGGAAGGGGUAAAAUCCUUUGAUUCUAUUGAUGACCACCUGUGGCGAAGGCGGUCUACCAGAACACGUUCGACGGUGAGGGAUGAAAGCUGGGGGAGCAAACCGGAUUAGAUACCCGGGUAGUCCCAGCUGUAAACGAUGCAGACUCGGUGAUGCCCUGGCUUGUGGCCAGUGCAGUGCCGCAGGGAAGCCGUUAAGUUUGCCGCCUGGGAAGUACGUACGCAAGUAUGAAACUUAAAGGAAUUGGCGGGGGAGCACCACAAGGGGUGAAGCCUGCGGUUCAAUUGGAGUCAACGCCAGAAAUCUUACCCGAAGAGACAGCAGAAUGAAGGUCAAGCUGGAGACUUUACCAGACAAGCUGAGAAGUGGUGCAUGGCCGUCGCCAGCUCGUGCCGUGAGAUGUCCUGUUAAGUCAGGUAACGAGCGAGAUCCCUGCCUCUAGUUGCCACCAUUACUCUCAGGAGUAGUGGGGCGAAUUAGCGGGACCGCCGUAGUUAAUACGGAGGAAGGAAGGGGCCACGGCAGGUCAGUAUGCCCUGAAACUUUGGGGCCACACGCGGGCUGCAAUGGUAGCGACAAUGGGUUCCUAAUCCGAAAGGUGGAGGUAAUCCUCAAACGCUACCACAGUUAUGAUUGAGGGCUGCAACUCGCCCUCAUGAAUAUGGAAUCCCUAGUAACUGCGUGUCAUUAUCGCGCGGUGAAUA